Molecule: ribosomal RNA, 495 nt
Filed under: uncultured bacterium
Lineage: Bacteria
Description: partial 16S ribosomal RNA
Rfam family: Bacterial small subunit ribosomal RNA
Source: RNAcentral
GACGAACGCUGGCGGCGUGCCUAAUACAUGCAAGUAGAACGCUGAAGGAGGAGCUUGCUUCUCUGGAUGAGUUGCGAACGGGUGAGUAACGCGUAGGUAACCUGCCUGGUAGCGGGGGAUAACUAUUGGAAACGAUAGCUAAUACCGCAUAAUAGUAGAUGUCGCAUGACAUUUGCUUAAAAGGUGCAAUUGCAUCACUACCAGAUGGACCUGCGUUGUAUUAGCUAGUUGGUGAGGUAACGGCUCACCAAGGCAACGAUACAUAGCCGACCUGAGAGGGUGAUCGGCCACACUGGGACUGAGACACGGCCCAGACGCCUACGGGAGGCAGCAGUAGGGAAUCUUCGGCAAUGGACGGAAGUCUGACCGAGCAACGCCGCGUGAGUGAAGAAGGUUUUCGGAUCGUAAAGCUCUGCUGUAAGAGAAGAACGAGUGUGAGAGUGGAAAGUUCACACUGUGACGGUAGCUUACCAGAAAGGGACGGCUAACUACGUG